GACACGGUGGAAGGAUUUACAGACACCGAAAUCAGAAGAUUUAUCAAGGCUUACAAGAAGUUUGGUGUUCCUUUGGAGCGACUGGAAUGCAUCGCUCGGGAUGCCGAACUAGUAGACAAAUC
Long non-coding RNA from Protobothrops mucrosquamatus (brown spotted pit viper), 122 nucleotides. RefSeq lists it as uncharacterized. NCBI's taxonomy places the organism in Eukaryota, Metazoa, Chordata, Lepidosauria, Squamata, Viperidae. The transcript has 3 exons. The record is from RefSeq and is a predicted model, not a curated record.